AUCCAAUGUAUACCACCCUGAAUGCGCCCGAUCUCGUCUGAUCUCGGAAGCUAAGCAGGGGUGGGCCUGGUUAGUACUUGGAUGGGAGACAGCCUGGGAAUACCGGGUGCUGUAGGUC
This 118-nucleotide ribosomal RNA is filed under the name Peromyscus maniculatus bairdii (prairie deer mouse). The record is from RNAcentral. Lineage: Eukaryota; Metazoa; Chordata; Mammalia; Rodentia; Cricetidae.